This 280-nucleotide ribosomal RNA is filed under the name uncultured Actinomycetales bacterium. RNAcentral's name for it is "partial 16S ribosomal RNA". It matches the Rfam family "Bacterial small subunit ribosomal RNA", at positions 505 to 784 of the family's 1533-position model. The record is from RNAcentral. Lineage: Bacteria; Bacillati; Actinomycetota; Actinomycetes; Actinomycetales.
GUGCCAGCAGCCGCGGUAAUACGUAGGGUACAAGCGUUGUCCGGAAUUAUUGGGCGUAAAGAGCUCGUAGGUGGUUUGUCGCGUCUGCUGUGGAAUCGUGCCGCUUAACGGUGCGCGUGCAGUGGGUACGGGCAGACUGGAGUGCAGUAGGGGAGUCUGGAAUUCCUGGUGUAGCGGUGAAAUGCGCAGAUAUCAGGAGGAACACCGGUGGCGAAGGCGGGACUCUGGGCUGUUACUGACGCUGAGGAGCGAAAGCAUGGGGAGCGAACAGGAUUAGAUA